This 393-nucleotide ribosomal RNA is filed under the name Triticum aestivum (bread wheat). Its description in RNAcentral is "partial small subunit ribosomal RNA". The record is from RNAcentral. Lineage: Eukaryota; Viridiplantae; Streptophyta; Magnoliopsida; Poales; Poaceae.
AUGGGCCACCGGGGUGGAGCUUGUCAUCAAAUUCCUUCCGUUGGUGAUCCUGUAGUACUCGGCGCCUCCGACGAGGACGACCUCGGCGACGACGGCGAGGAUCAGGUUGAUGGGGAUGCUGUUGCCGAAGUAGUUGAGGGUGUUGCCGUCAAGGAGAAGGGCGCCAGUCUGCAGGAUGUUGUUUAUGGCACCGUGAGUUCAAACUUGCAGAGUUCUGAAUCUGAAGCCGUGAAAACUGACGAUCAGCAUUCAGCAAUUACCUUGAACCAAACGGCCUCGGGACCGCAGUUUGCGCCGAACUUGUUGAGCGCCUCGGGGAUGAUGAAUCCGGCGGCGCCGAGCAUGGCCCACCUGGCAUGGAUGAGCUCAAAGGCCUGGUACCUGCAGAAUUGA